RNAcentral lists this ribosomal RNA (333 nucleotides) under uncultured bacterium. RNAcentral's name for it is "bacterial SSU rRNA". It matches the Rfam family "Bacterial small subunit ribosomal RNA", at positions 29 to 352 of the family's 1533-position model. The record is from RNAcentral.
AAUGAACGCUGGCGGCGCGCCUAAUACAUGCAAGUCGAGCGAGAAGACGUAGCAAUACGUUUGUAAAGCGGCGAACGGGUGAGGAAUACAUGGGUAACCUACCCUCGAGUGGGGAAUAACUAGCCGAAAGGUUAGCUAAUACCGCGUACGCUCCUUGGACUUCGGUUCAGGGAGGAAAGCGAUACCGUGGGUAUCGCGCUCUUGGUUGGGCUCAUGUCCUAUCAGCUUGUUGGUGAGGUAACGGCUCACCAAGGCUUCGACGGGUAGCUGGUCUGAGAGGACGAUCAGCCACACUGGCACUGCGACACGGGCCAGACUCCUACGGGAGGCAGC